GCCCAAUUUCGCACGUGCCCGUGGUCGUGUGUCAGUCGGUAGGUAUCCGGACAAGAGGCCGGACAGCCGCCAAGGGAUGAAGAGCCGAGGGUCUCCAAGCGUUCGCGCAGCGAGGCCAGCAUCUCUCUCAAGAGAUGCCGUUGAAGGUGGCUUCCUCUCUUGCAACCGUGACUGACAGCCGGAGGCGAACCGGCGCACCUCGUUCUCAACGAGGGACGCGACUUAAAGCAACGACGGAGCGGGCUUUU
This 248-nucleotide small RNA is filed under the name Rhodopseudomonas palustris CGA009. RNAcentral's name for it is "Alphaproteobacterial sRNA ar45". It matches the Rfam family "Alphaproteobacterial sRNA ar45". Lineage: Bacteria; Pseudomonadati; Pseudomonadota; Alphaproteobacteria; Hyphomicrobiales; Nitrobacteraceae. The record is from Rfam by way of RNAcentral.